RNAcentral lists this long non-coding RNA (4509 nucleotides) under Marmota monax (woodchuck). Lineage: Eukaryota; Metazoa; Chordata; Mammalia; Rodentia; Sciuridae. The record is from RNAcentral.
UGGGUAAGACCGGAUGGCACUGUGACCCCCGCAAACACCAGCUGGGGUGCUGACAGUCCGAGUGGCGCUGCAGGCGCAGGUCCCUGUGAAAGCCAGGCUCGCGAAGAUGCCGAGGUUCAGAGAGUGUGCGGGCAUCGUGGGGAAGGAGGGCAGGCGCCAGGCCUGAGGGUUUGCCGUGUGCCCGCUGCUGGCUAAGGGCUCGCCAUGCCUCCCCGUGACAACCGGUGACAUGGCCCUACGCUCCUCUGCGGUUAAAGAUGGGGAAACAGAAGUUUGGAGACAGGAAGCCUCACCUAAGGCCAGGGAGCCAGGGUUGGUACGCUGGGCAGAGCCCCGCCUCACCCCAGCUCCCCGCAGGCAGAGAGCGGUCACGCAGAGUCCCCGGGCUGCACCUGCCCUGCGGCUCCCCCACUCCCUCCCUUUGCUCCUCUUGCUCCCUACACUGCCUGCCGUGGGGCGCAGGGUUUUUGAAAUAGGUGGAAAAGCCAAAAAGGUGGACGUAUAAACUGGUGGAUGUUUCAGAAGAUAAUUUGCAGCUUCUACUAAAAACGGAAGAUUGGGCACAUUCUUUGACCCAGUCAUUCCAAUUUUAGAAAAUAAACAAGCAGAGACUAAGGCAUAAAAAUAUCUAAAGCAGGAGAUUAGAGACAACCUGGAAAUACAUUCCAUGUCCAAUCACAGGGAGUUAAAAAAAGUGUGGCUUUCAGGGGAAUGCAGUAUGUGGUAGCAUAGGGAUGGACGUGGUGCUGUGGUCUGAAUGACCCUCCAGAGCUCACGUUGAAAUGUCAUGGCCAUUGUGAUGGAAUUAAGAGGUGAGACCUUUAAGAACAGAUUAGGACUUGGGGGCCCUCAGGAAUGGUUGUGGGUUGAUGAUCUCAGCAGCGGCUCCAAUAGACAGGAUGAGUGUGGGCUGGUUUCUCCCUGCCUCCCUUGUGCCCCUCGGCCUCUGCCUUGUGCUAAUGAAGCUGCAGGCCCCUGUCGGAGCUGGACCCUGCUCUUGGACUUCCCAGCCUCCAGAACCUUGAGGCAAACACUACUGUCUAUAGCUUACCCACUCUGAUAUCUUGUUAUAGCAGCAGAACACAGACAGAGACACACUGCUCGGAUAUGUGAAUACAAGAGGAAAAUGUGUUACACAACCUUAUCUCCCGGGGAUCUCGCUUUGGUAAGGAAUUCCUUCAUCUCAGUACACGUCAACUAUUUGGCUUUGUAGAGAAAGGACAAUGCAAAUGAUGGCGUAAGGCUCCCGAGCCCUGUGCCCCUUCACCCAGGCCCUCAUCAAUAGGCAGACCCAGGCUGGAUAACCUGCAAACCCCCAGGCUGAGUCUUAUUCUAGAAUCUUCCUUCCUUCUCCCUAUAUACAUUUAAUGACUCUUUAAACAUCCCUCGACAACACCCUCCCAAACCUCAGGCCCCCUCCUCCUUCAGACCAACGGGCCUCCCUCCAGCCCCACUGCGGUUGACUGUUUGAUCCACACAGCGAUGCGCUACUCCAGCCCCCCCCCCCAAGAAAGUCUUCUUUUAAAUGUUGCAAAUUGCAAAGCAGCAAACAUCCACCCAUGCUCAUGUAUAAACUCACUUUUUUUAUUUUCAUUCAAAUUAUGUCCUGGGUAGAAAUUCCCAGGUAGGGAUUCCUGGGCUGGGGGUGGGAUUUCUUUAAGCAUCAACACGGUUCCUCCCGGUUCUUCAGACAUCAAGACCUUUAGGUCCUGUUGAGGGUAAAAAAAAAAAAAAUCUGAAUUUCUGUGCCCUGAUUCCUCUGCUGCUCUUCCACCUCUUAAAUUGGGUUGGAAUGUGAUCUUUUCAUCAUGAAAUUUUAUUUUAAUUUUAAAACACUUCUGCACCUUCUUCCCUCCAUGUUUUCUUCUCUUCCUCCAUGUUUUAUUAGCUCUGCUUCUUACGGGCAUUGCUUAGGUCAUAGAGACCUUUUUCUUCUAACUGGCGGGCCCUCCACAAGUUUACAAUGUGGCGAUUUCUCCACAGUGAACUUAAAAAGAAAGAAGGAAGAGGUGGGCGGGGUUUGCUCGCGAGCUCUCUCUCUCUCUCUCUCUCUCUCUCUUGUGCUUCAAGGGAAUUGAGAACAUAAAUAAAUAAAUAACAAAAAUAAACAGGGGUGUCAUCUGUGUUCAUCUGCAUUAGCAUAAUGAGUCAUUCCUCUUUUUUUUUUUUAAAUAAAGACAAAAGUGUAGCAGGUGCGGGUCCCCAGGUCUAGAGGUAUGGAAGACCUCCUUUGAAUUGGUUUACGGCAGAUUUUGGUGAACUUUGGACUUCCCUGGAAUUUUCAUGAGGCUAAAAUCAUAACUGAAGUCCUUGGUGCAUCCCGCCUCUGGGGCAUUGCGCCUUUCUCCUCCUUUCUCUGGAAUGAUUCGGGAAUCCUGUCCAAAGGUGUCAAGGUCAUAAGUGCCUAUCAACGUCAGACUGACUGUGUGCUCUCUUUUGAGCUAAGCAGGGAGAUUGGAAACUUGGAUCUUUUAUGUAAACCAUCCGCUUCAAAUAAAACUUAUCUCCAGGCCAAAUAUGCCUUUCAGCCACAGAACUUUUCCCCAAACCAGUAUUAUACUGGGAAAUGCAUUUUUUAAAUGUUCUGGGAAAUGCAUUUUGUAUCUUUUUUUGUGUGUGUGUGUGUACACAAUACCUCUAUUUUAUUUAUUUAUUUUUAUGUGGUGCUGAAGAUCGAACCCAGAGCCUUUCACAGGCUAGGGGAGCGCUCUACAGCUGAGCCAUAGCCCCGGGAAAUGCAUGUUUUAAACGUCUCUCCUCUCUCAACCUUCUGACUUGCUGUCUCAUCCUCACAGAUGAUACAGAAGUCACCAAGUUUGCCUUGACUUCUGCUACCAAAAAAAUCACCCACACUGGCGCCAUCCUGCCUUCUUUGCCAUCUGCUCAGCAAAGCUUCCUAGAAGGAGCCCUGUUCCUCCUGCCCCAGGGCCUUUGCAUGUGCUUUUACUCUGCUCCACCCCACUCCUUCCCAGUCUCAGGUCCUCAGGGCUGCCUCAAACUUCUCCUUAACUGUGUACCUCUCCUUCACAGGUGUCAUUCUUUAGGUUACUCUGUAUCUUUGUUUAUUUUCUGUCCCCCCAACAAGACGAAUGCAAGCAGGGCCAAUGUCUGUGAUCCUCCACAGUGAUUGCUACUCAAACAGUGAGUAUAANAAGAGACAGGACCUACCUUCAAUCACAGGGAGGAGCAGAAGUCCCUGGAAGUUGACAGGGAACAGGAGCUUCCUGGCCAGCCCACACCCUCCAGCUGUUACAGGAAGUGGGGAAUGAAUGGCUAUCUCAGUUGGGAUUGCAUUCAGGGCCUCAGGGAUGUCAGCAUUGCCUUUAACACAAGUGCCAUCAGGAAAGCUUGUCCCAGGGCUGACAUUUGAAUUGUGCCUUCAAGGAACAGUUGAACUUCUCCCGGGGAAAGGGGGAGAGUUGCAAAUCCCUGGGAAAGGCCGGAAGCUCCGUCAUGUGCCCAGAUUCCUGGCUCACACCACCCCUACCCAACACCACCAUUCAGACCCUGUGGAUCUGAACCCACAGGGCAGGAGCCAAGGAAGAGGAAAUUUUAUUUAGUGCCCCCAUCAUCCUCAUGACCAGCAAGUCUGCUAAAUGCUGGGCUGGACCCUCUGACUGUUGGUGGAAGAUACAGGAUCAGAGCUGGGAACACCAGAUUGAGCUAAAAGUAAAUAGCUUUGGAAUUUGACUGUAACACUGGUAACGUCACCUUAACAGCAAUGGGCUGCUUCUUUUCUUUGGGGAGACAGAUGACACAAAUUCUUUUAAAAUUUCAAUAAAAGGUAUAACCUUUUUUCCAGAAAGUGCUCCCCUGCCCCCACAUUUGAAUACAUUUCAAGGGUCCCAAUAAUCUGUUCUCUGGAGCUCAGGGGAAGGAACUCCAGGGCAGGGAUUUCAAUGGAGCAGGAUCUGCUCAGGUCAGAGGAGACCCUCAUGAAAGCAAGGGGACUGAAUGGGCCAACCAGGCUCCAGGGAGCAAGUUCAGGCGAAGGAGCCGCUCUCAAGAGAAGAUGGAAGCCCAGACUGGGUAGAGCUCAAGGCCGUGGAAGAGGUGGGUGGGGUACAGGGCAAGUGACCAAUGAAGGGGACAGAAUUCAAGGCUGAGGGAGGUGCCCUGCUCGCUCAGAGGUUUCAGGUUGUGUUUGGGGCGGGGUGUGUUCAGUUCUUAGAGUGGUGAGUUCAUAGCGGCAAGUGAAAGGACCUUGAGGAAUUCCGGUGCUAGUUCCUGGAAAGUCAGGGAAACCCAGGUGGGGUCGGAGCUUGUCGAGGUGCAGGGCAGUGGGUGGCAGGCCUCCUCCAGGGAGAGGCCGAAAAGAGACGGGAAGCAAGACCUGACAGAACCCACCUCAGAGGAGCCCUUGAAAGAGGACAACGGAAAAGAGAGACAGAGACAGCAGCACCAGGAGCAGAAGGUCAAGCCAAUGAGCCCAGAGAGGUCAUUGAAUUGGGCACCUCAGGGAAAUCUCUAAAAGAGUCUUUUCCUAACUCUGCAAUGCAUACCUUUGUU